Cricetulus griseus (Chinese hamster) is the source of this 80-nucleotide microRNA precursor. NCBI's taxonomy places the organism in Eukaryota, Metazoa, Chordata, Mammalia, Rodentia, Cricetidae. The record is from Ensembl.
GAGCAAGCCAUGGAGAGCAAGCCAGUAAGCAGCAUUCUUCCAUGGUCUCUGCUUCAACUCCUGCCUCCAGGUCCCUGCCU